GGUUAAGCGAAUAAGCGUACACGGUGGAUGCCCUGGCAGUCAGAGGCGAUGAAGGACGUGCUAAUCUGCGAAAAGCGCCGGUAAGGUGAUAUGAACCGAUACAGCCGGCGAUGUCCGAAUGGGGAAACCCGGUGCACUCAGUGCAUCAUCGCAACAUGAAUACAUAGUGUUGCGAGGCGAACCGGGGGAACUGAAACAUCUAAGUACCCCGAGGAAAAGAAAUCAACCGAGAUUCCCCCAGUAGCGGCGAGCGAACGGGGAGCAGCCCUGAACCAUCAUCAGUGUGUGUGUUAGUGGAAGCGUCCGGAAUGGCGCACGAUACAGGGUGAAAGUCCCGUACAUGAAAAUGCACAUACUGUGAGUUCGAAGAGUAGGGCGGGACACGUGGUAUCCUGUCUGAAUAUGGGGGGACCAUCCUCCAAGGCUAAAUACUCCUGACUGACCGAUAGUGAACCAGUACCGUGAGGGAAAGGCGAAAAGAACCCCGGCGAGGGGAGUGAAAAGAACCUGAAACCGUGUACGUACAAGCAGUGGGAGCACCCUUUGGGGUGUGACUGCGUACCUUUUGUAUAAUGGGUCAGCGACUUAUAUUCUGUAGCAAGGUUAACCGUAUAGGGGAGCCGCAGGGAAACCGAGUCUUAACUGGGCGUUAAGUUGCAGGGUAUAGACCCGAAACCCGGUGAUCUAGCCAUGGGCAGGUUGAAGGUUGGGUAACACUAACUGGAGGACCGAACCGACUAAUGUUGAAAAAUUAGCGGAUGACCUGUGGCUGGGGGUGAAAGGCCAAUCAAACCGGGAGAUAGCUGGUUCUCCCCGAAAGCUAUUUAGGUAGCGCCUCGUGAACUCAUCUCCGGGGGUAGAGCACUGUUUCGGCUAGGGGGCCAUCCCGGCUUACCAACCCGAUGCAAACUGCGAAUACCGGAGAAUGUUAUCACGGGAGACACACGGCGGGUGCUAACGUCCGUCGUGAAGAGGGAAACAACCCAGACCGCCAGCUAAGGUCCCAAAGUCAUGGUUAAGUGGGAAACGAUGUGGGAAGGCUCAGACAGCCAGGAUGUUGGCUUAGAAGCAGCCAUCAUUUAAAGAAAGCGUAAUAGCUCACUGGUCGAGUCGGCCUGCGCGGAAGAUGUAACGGGGCUAAACCAUGCACCGAAGCUGCGGCAGCGACACGUAUGUGUUGUUGGGUAGGGGAGCGUUCUGUAAGCCAUUGAAGGUGGACUGUGAGGUCUGCUGGAGGUAUCAGAAGUGCGAAUGCUGACAUAAGUAACGAUAAAGCGGGUGAAAAGCCCGCUCGCCGGAAGACCAAGGGUUCCUGUCCAACGUUAAUCGGGGCAGGGUGAGUCGACCCCUAAGGCGAGGCUGAAAAGCGUAGUCGAUGGGAAACAGGUUAAUAUUCCUGUACUUGGUGUUACUGCGAAGGGGGGACGGAGAAGGCUAUGUCAUCCGGGCGACGGUUGUCCCGGUUUAAGCGUGUAGGCUGAGAUUCCAGGCAAAUCCGGAAUCUCUUAAGGCUGAGGCGUGAUGACGAGGUGCUACGGCACUGAAGUGACAAAUGCCCUGCUUCCGGGAAAAGCCUCUAAGCUCCAGGUAACACGAAAUCGUACCCCAAACCGACACAGGUGGUCAGGUAGAGAAUACCAAGGCGCUUGAGAGAACUCGGGUGAAGGAACUAGGCAAAAUGGUGCCGUAACUUCGGGAGAAGGCACGCUGGCGCGUAGGUGAAGGGACUUGCUCCCGGAGCUGAAGCCAGUCGAAGAUACCAGCUGGCUGCAACUGUUUAUUAAAAACACAGCACUGUGCAAACACGAAAGUGGACGUAUACGGUGUGACGCCUGCCCGGUGCCGGAAGGUUAAUUGAUGGGGUUAUCGCUCUGCGAGAAGCUCCUGAUCGAAGCCCCGGUAAACGGCGGCCGUAACUAUAACGGUCCUAAGGUAGCGAAAUUCCUUGUCGGGUAAGUUCCGACCUGCACGAAUGGCGUAAUGAUGGCCAGGCUGUCUCCACCCGAGACUCAGUGAAAUUGAAAUCGCUGUGAAGAUGCAGUGUACCCGCGGCAAGACGGAAAGACCCCGUGAACCUUUACUAUAGCUUGACACUGAAUAUUGAGCCUUGAUGUGCAGGAUAGGUGGGAGGCACUGAAGUACGGACGCCAGUUCGUACGGAGCCAUCCUUGAAAUACCACCCUUUAAUGUUUGAUAUUCUAACGUGGACCCGUUAUCCGGGUUGCGGACAGUGUCUGGUGGGUAGUUUGACUGGGGCGGUCUCCUCCCAAAGAGUAACGGAGGAGCACGAAGGUUAGCUAAUCACGGUCGGACAUCGUGAGGUUAGUGCAAAGGCAUAAGCUAGCUUGACUGCGAGAGUGACGGUUCGAGCAGGUGCGAAAGCAGGUCUUAGUGAUCCGGUGGUUCUGAAUGGAAGGGCCAUCGCUCAACGGAUAAAAGGUACUCCGGGGAUAACAGGCUGAUACCGCCCAAGAGUUCAUAUCGACGGCGGUGUUUGGCACCUCGAUGUCGGCUCAUCACAUCCUGGGGCUGAAGUAGGUCCCAAGGGUACGGCUGUUCGCCGUUUAAAGUGGUACGCGAGCUGGGUUUAGAACGUCGUGAGACAGUUCGGUCCCUAUCUGCCGUGGGCGCUGGAGAAUUGAGGGGGGUUGCUCCUAGUACGAGAGGACCGGAGUGAACGCACCACUGGUGUUCGGGUUGUCAUGCCAAUGGCAUUGCCCGGUAGCUAAGUGCGGAAAAGAUAAGUGCUGAAAGCAUCUAAGCACGAAACUUGCCCCGAGAUGAGUUCUCCCUGACCCUUUAAGGGUCCUGAAGGGACGUUGAAGACGACGACGUUGAUAGGCCGGAUGUGUAAGUGCAGCGAUGCAUUGAGCUAACCGGUACUAAUGACCCGUGAGGCUUAACCUU
This 2907-nucleotide ribosomal RNA is filed under the name Tatumella morbirosei. Its description in RNAcentral is "Bacterial large subunit ribosomal RNA". It matches the Rfam family "Bacterial large subunit ribosomal RNA". Lineage: Bacteria; Pseudomonadati; Pseudomonadota; Gammaproteobacteria; Enterobacterales; Erwiniaceae. The record is from Rfam by way of RNAcentral.